Molecule: ribosomal RNA, 1528 nt
Filed under: Tenericutes bacterium GWA2_38_26
Lineage: Bacteria; Bacillati; Mycoplasmatota
Description: bacterial SSU rRNA
Rfam family: Bacterial small subunit ribosomal RNA
Source: RNAcentral
UUUAUGGAGAGUUUGAUCCUGGCUCAGGAUGAACGCUGGCGGCGUGCCUAAUACAUGCAAGUCGAACGCACCAUUUCGGUGGUGAGUGGCGAACGGGUGAGUAACACGUAGGUAACCUGCCCUUAAGACGAGGAUAACCAAGGGAAACUUUGGCUAAAACUGGAUAGGAACAUCGAAGGCAUCUUUGAUGUUUUAAAAGACCUAGCAAUAGGUAUGCUUAAGGAGGGGCCUGCGGCGCAUUAGUUAGUUGGUGAGGUGAAGGCUUACCAAGACGAUGAUGCGUAGCCGGACUGAGAGGUUGAACGGCCACAUUGGGACUGAGAAACGGCCCAAACUCCUACGGGAGGCAGCAGUAGGGAAUUUUCGGCAAUGGGGGAAACCCUGACCGAGCAACGCCGCGUGAAUGACGAAGUACUUCGGUAUGUAAAGUUCUUUUAUCAGGGAAGAAUGGCUAGCGGAAAAGCUAGAUUGACGGUACUUGAUGAAUAAGCCCCGGCUAACUAUGUGCCAGCAGCCGCGGUAAUACAUAGGGGGCAAGCGUUAUCCGGAAUUAUUGGGCGUAAAGGGUGCGUAGGUGGUUGAUUAAGUCUUUGGUAUAAGUGCAGUGCUUAACGCUGUGACGCUAAAGAAACUAGUCGACUUGAGUGUAGUAGAGGCAAGUGGAAUUCCAUGUGUAGCGGUAAAAUGCGUAAAUAUAUGGAGGAACACCGGUGGCGAAGGCGGCUUGCUGGGCUAUAACUGACACUGAGGCACGAAAGCGUGGGGAGCAAACAGGAUUAGAUACCCUGGUAGUCCACGCCGUAAACGAUGAGUACUAAGUGUAGGGGAAACUCUGUGCUGUAGCUAACGCAAUAAGUACUCCGCCUGAGUAGUACGUACGCAAGUAUGAAACUCAAAGGAAUUGACGGGACCCCGCACAAGCGGUGGAUCAUGUUGUUUAAUUCGAUGAUACGCGAAGAACCUUACCAGGUCUUGACAUCCCAUGCAAAGCUAUAGAGAUAUAGUGGAGGUUAUCAUGGAGACAGGUGGUGCAUGGUUGUCGUCAGCUCGUGUCGUGAGAUGUUGGGUUAAGUCCCGCAACGAGCGCAACCCUUAUUGCUAGUUACCAUCAUUAAGUUGGGGACUCUAGCGAGACUGCCAGUGAUAAACUGGAGGAAGGUGGGGAUGACGUCAAAUCAUCAUGCCCCUUAUGACCUGGGCUACAAACGUGAUACAAUGGCUGGAACAAAGGGAGGCGAAGGGGUGACCUGGAGCGAAACUCAAAAAAACAGUCUCAGUUCGGAUUGAAGUCUGCAACUCGACUUCAUGAAGUCGGAAUCGCUAGUAAUCGCGGAUCAGAACGCCGCGGUGAAUACGUUCUCGGGGUUUGUACACACCGCCCGUCAAACCACGAAAGUCUACAAUACCCAAAGCCGGUGGCCUAACCGCAAGGAGGGAGCCGUUUAAGGUAGGGUCGAUGAUUGGGGUUAAGUCGUAACAAGGUAUCCCUACGGGAACGUGGGGAUGGAUCACCUCCUUUCUAAGGAGA